UACGUAGGGGGCGAGCGUUGUCCGGAAUGAUUGGGCGUAAAGGGCGCGUAGGCGGCUUUGCAAGUCAGUAGUGGAAGUCCAUUUUUCAAGGAUGGAAGUGCUACAGAAACUGCGGAGCUUGAGUGCAGGAGAGGUUAUCGGAAUUCCCGGUGUAGCGGUGAAAUGCGUAGAGAUCGUGAGGAACACCAGUGGCGAAGGCGGGUAACUGGACUGCAACUGACGCUGAGGCGCGAAAGUGUGGGGAGCAAACAGGAUUAGAUACCCGUGUA
This 269-nucleotide ribosomal RNA is filed under the name uncultured prokaryote. RNAcentral's name for it is "partial 16S ribosomal RNA". It matches the Rfam family "Bacterial small subunit ribosomal RNA", at positions 524 to 792 of the family's 1533-position model. The record is from RNAcentral.